AAUGUUCUGGGAGAAUGACGCUUUGACUGUGGUCUAAUUUGGGAGAAGAGGACUGAAAACAAAGAGCUGGGGCUUGUAGAAACAGACUGACAAAGCCAGCAUGAGAAGCAGAAAAUAGAAGAAUGCGUCGCGUCGCUGCUGUUUAUCUGCAGCCGCUUGCACAGCGCUACUCCAACUCACCGCUCUGGUUUGGAAAAGGUGGAGAAGCUAAGACUCCAGGCAAACUCCUACACCUCAGUGGAGUUAGAAACUGUUGGGAGCACUUCAUCCCAAAUUAAGGCCCAUUUAAUGGAGUGAAAGAAACCUCCACCAGAUAUUAGAGUUAUUAACUCAUUAGUAGCUUAGCAUCAUUAACCACUAGCCCCAGUCCCUCUUCAACCAAUUAAAACUUUCAGCUGUGUCUGGAGGGGGCGGAGCUACUAGUCGCCUUACACUUGACCUCUCUGCCAUAAAACUGCACAUCCUGUCCCGUUGUUUUCAUCGUGAUGACAUCCCCCCUCCCCUGCAGAACGCAGAGUUUGUGCUUAACUUUGUUUUAUUUGAUGGAUUUACAGGAUCACCUCAGAAAAAAAGUGUUUCUGUCACCAUCAUGUAGUAGUGAUUUACUCAUUGAUAUUCGCCAUUGUUAGUUGAUAUGUCUUUAACAAGAAAACAGGCAAAUGAUAGUUUAGGAUGUGCUGCUAGACCAUUUCUAGAGCAGAGGUAGAUUUGGGUGAAUUUGGUUUGAGCUGAGGUUGUAAAUUCAUCCACGGAGAUGUGGUCAUAAAGAGGUGGAGGCUGAAAAUGAAAGGUACUUAGGGUUCCUACGCAGGUCUGCAAAACAUGAAGAAAAACUGGCAGAGUGAACUCAACUCGCUCUUCACUCGCACCUAAUGUAGAUAUACUGAUUUGAAUCAUUAUCGUAAACUCAGCAUUUGUACUGAGAGCUGUGGCUUUGAAACUUCAUGUGCUUUUCUUUGUUUUCUUUCAUAUAUACUGUUACAAAUGUGGUUGCCCAUAUUAAAUAUUGCCAAAUUUUCAAGUAAUAAGGAAAGCUUCUAUAAAGGUAACUGCUGUGAGCUCUAAUCUCAGAUGUUACACUGUUCUAAAGACUUAGUUUAAUGUUUUUUUUCUACUCUUGUGUCUGUCUGAUGACAGCUUGGCACAUAUUUCCUUAUGGUCAGCCACAGCUCUGGCUUUACCACAAUAAGGAGGCAAGGGUGCAAGACAGCCAAUCACAACACAGAGGCCAAAAUGUUUCAGUUAGAUGAUGCACUGAGUGCCUAUUUAAAGGGCCAGUAUAAGGUAAAUUAUUGAAAACAUUUUUUAACUGCCAAUCACACAGAAACCACAACAGAAAAUGAGCAUUAAUGGCCCCUUUUAACAUUUUUUUUUUUAUUUUUUUGAUAAUACUUCUGUCAGUCACAGGCUCGAUUCAGUGGUAAAUUGUCAAACUGUAAGUCAUAAAUUACUUAAAGCCACUUAGUUUCAAAUUGACAUAUUUCAAAAAUAGUAUUAAAUAUUUAUGAGGAAACCAACAACAUUCAGAGUUAAAGGUAUCCUGUGGAGUUUUUGACCACUGGCAACAUUAUGGAGCAGCGUGUCCCUGUUUUCAUACAUCUGAAAUUAGAAAAUGUAGUAAUAUAAUGGUUUUCUCUGCCGAUGGUUUCAGCCUUUAUUUUUUUUUAUUUUGUUUUUUAAAUCAGCUUUGUUAAUGUUUUAUGAAUAGGAAAAAACACUGAGCUGGGUUGUUAGAUCUGCAGGAUAUGCUUACAGAGAAACAAAACCUCUGCAGGCCCUGUCUCUGCUGUUGCUCUAUGAAGCUCCCAAAAUUCACCAGCAGUGUUUUUAUGUUUUUAUGUUUUGUUUUUUUUUAAUUUCAGCUCACAUUUUUCCACACCCGGCCUUCCUAUUUUAACCCAGGGCAAACAGCACAGACAGACUCAUAGAGCAUGCUGCUCUGUGAGAAAAGUGCUAGGUACAGCUUGAAUAUUUUUCUUUAUGAGUCAGCGUGUAUUUAGUGACUCAUAAUGUGGCAUGCGCUGAGUUAAAAUACCAAAUCUGACACCCCCCUAAAAAUGGUUAUGAAGAUUUGUCAAUAGAAGCUGCGUAGGAACUGUGAAUGCCAACUUCUGCAGCACCUGCUUCAUCCAUGUGAAAUAAGACCUGUGUGAGAGAACAGGCACAUCUCUCCGAGAUUGUUGUUAUAACUUCGGGGAUAUCAUCCCCUGACAUUAUUACUGAGGUAUGUUGUUAUUAGCUGUUUUACAUUUUACAUGUACUUUAACCAUCAUUUUUACUGAGAACGAUUAAAGAGUACCCAUUAUGCGUUUCCUAAUUUUCUGUCAUAUAUAUAUAUACUGUUACAGAGGUGGAUGCUCAUAUCAAACAUGGCCAAAAUUUCAAGUACUGAGGUCAAAAAGGCUUCAGCCCACUCUAAUCACCCAGUUUCAGACAGUUAUGGGGGGGUCUGUGCCUAAUCUGAUCAUCUCAGCUAAUCAGAAGAAAGCUGGCUUAAAGGGAAAAGAGCCAACACUGGUUGUUAUCAGUGGCAAACUGAAGAGCCAGUAUAUGAUAAAUAAAGAUUAUUUUGAGCUAUAAAUCAUUAAAGGCUACUGUGAGAGCCCAAGAAUAAAACACAACAAACAUGGAGCUGGAAAUGAGCAUAAUAGGUCCACUUUAAGCUGUGCCUCUGCUUCUGAUAUGAGCUCUGUUGGUGUAUUACUGUAUUGUCAUUGUACUUGAUUUCAGUGUUUUUAUUCCUCUUUGCACAUAACAGGAUGUUUUGGUGUUGCUGUGGCUGAUUCUGGACACUCUUUGUCUCUCUCUCUCUCACACACACGUGUACACUCAUGCUUUCGUGCCUUGUCCUGCUGCUGGACAUCCUCUCGCCUACAGCUGCUCCAUCGGCAACACACACCUGCUGCCAUUUGCCAUUUUUUCCCACAAACACGUGCACACAAAAGCACACACAUGCACAUCUUCUGGCUGAGAACUGUGCCUUCUGAGCUGUACAUGCACACACCUUCAUGAAACACGCUCUUCUGCCUUCUGGUCACGGUACAAAUGUCCCCUGGUGUUCACUCCUUACUGCUUUGUACACUGACAUUGUUUUCUAAAGAUGGCUGUAGGCUGAGGGAGAGGAUGUAAACUCGUGAUGCAGCGUGACUCGCGGUGAAUUCAUAUUAGGCCCUUUGCUUCUUUUUGGGACACAGGGUAGAUACUCGUGAGGCGAGAUAGACGGCAGACAGAGAGAGCUUGAAUCUGUUGGAUUCAAGCCCGCGACACUGCGGGUACCUGUCCUGUUCUUGUCUGUUUUGAAGCACGCCAUGAGUGUAGAACAGCAGAUGGAGACGAUAACAAAACAGCUAAAAUUUUAGACGUAUUACUGUACCGCUUCUGUGGUGAACUUGAGCCUGGUUCGGUGUUUUCUUAAAGUCGUCAGCUGCCACAUUCAGAAUGAAUGUGUAAAUUGUUUUGGAGAUAAUGUGGCUUUUAUGCAGACAUUACUUAUGUUGCUCUCUGGUAGCAGUGUAACACAUUCCUAUCAAAAGCCGUAACUGUAACCCCCCCACAAACAGACCAGACCUUGUUCCGACAUCGAAACAGUUUUCAGCUUCCUGGCUCACAGCUGUAGACCAGAACAUUGUGAUAGAAAGAGAUAAGUGGCAGGGCAAUCCCUUUCGGGUGUACCAGCCUAGAUUAGUGUGGAGUUUUUCCCUCCACCUACAUGACACAGAUCUGAGUGUUCCCUGUAGUAUUUCUAACCUAAAGUAGGUCCUUUCGCCUGUCUCUGACCCAAUACACUCAUUUUUUUUUCUCCUGAAGAACCAGUUUUCUGGUUAGGUUCUGUGUUGUAACUUUGUAGGAAAAAACUGAGAGCAUUUCAGUUAAAUUUGUGCUUAUCUUUCUUCUGACAAACCUGACAGUUGCAUGUACAGGCUGUGAAAUUUGAUUGUGUGGCUCACUGAUGCUGACUUACAGAAAAUGCUGAGUUUAAACUGGACUGAUUUAAUACAAUUAUACAAUAAUUUUAGACCGGACUACCCCGACCAUCUCUGUGCUAAAAGCUGCUUUGUUCGUGCUGUCAGUGGAAUCCAGGGCCCCGAUACAUCCAGGACUAUUUUUACUCAGUUAUGUCUCACGUGUCAUGUGCUGCUGCUCGGUGAAGCCACAAACAUCACCCAAUUACUGAUCGCCUGAAACUAUGUUAUCGAGCUUUGUGACACUGCACAGGGAGUUUACCACACUUUCCAUUUUCGUGGAUAGAAACAGAGGCACAUUAAACUAAUUGGCUGCAUUGUUUAUGGGGUAAUCAAAAAGAAUGAGUGAGGGGAAUUAAGACCAUUUCAAAGCACCAGAUCAGCAAAAAAAAAGGAAGCUGGACAAUAAUGUUUAUAGUGUCACAUACAGAAAUUUUAAAGGGAAAAAUCAGAAAACUACUAAAACCUACCAAACCGUAGGUUAAUUUUUGAGUUAUAAUGAUUUUAAUUGUGGACUGACCUGCUUUCACCAACAUGUAUUAGGAGAUUUGGCUCCCCUGCAGCAAUACGGCAAAUUGUUACCGGGCACUGAACUGCAAACUAAUUAAGCUAACAUAAUGCAGACUGGUGCUUUUGAGUGCUUUGUUUUGAUGUUACACAUUUAGUAAGAAAAGAGUUUUUCCCUGAAAGAUUAAAUCUGAACCCCUUUGUGCUUCACAUAUUUUCUGAACACACAGUUUGGGAGGGGGACCAGUGGAGGAAAUUCAAGUGGGGUGGAACCCAAAGACUGUAUAUAAAAGAAAGAAGUAGCCACUGUGACAUCACUCAUUGGUUAGUGAAUGAGAUGAGCGUUUUUGAAACCAGCAGUUUUGAGACCAGGGCGUAUCUGGUAGACACACAUUGGCUAACGACGUGAUAAACACUGCUUCAUCAUUAUUCUGGAAACUAAUUGGAACCACAAUUUGCAAAAUAAACAUUAUGUUUUCAGCUAACAGUUAAGACCAUUAGCUCACAAUAAAGGUACUUGAAAAUGUGCCGAUUUAACAUAUUUAUCCAUUGGCGCUCCCUUUAAACCCGAAGCUAUGUCCAUCUUUUAUAUACAGUCUAUGUUCCCAUAGACCGGUUUUAGUCUUUAAUGAUUAAACAAACAAGAUGCAGCAUGUUAAUAAAUGAGCUUUAGAUGCACUGGUAGGAGGACAGAUGUGGCAUUUUGAGUCUUUGUUUAAAAAAAAAAAAAAAAAAAAUCUUAAAUCAUUACUGAAUUUAAGUUGACGGGAACAAAGAAAAUUGGAUCAAUUUGUGGUUGUCUAGCAGAGGUAAAUGAUAGAUAACCUGUGCCGGAUUAAUAGUUUAAUUCAAUCGCCUUGUUCUGUUUCUUUCCAUUUGCUGUGGUUGAAUCUGUGUCACUCUGAAGUAAUGGAGAAUAGCUUUGUGCAGCAGGGACAGACAUUGCACUGGCUGUUUGAAAAAGAGCUUAUAGGAACAAAUACAUCAUGAUCAAAACACUGCCAGUGCUGGCUGUUGGCAUCGUUACAUCGCCGGCUCCUCCUGCCAGCCUGCUGAGGUGGGAACAGCCACAAGCGGCUCCUUCCUCAUCAGUUCACUGGUCUGCACUGAACAGAAACGGCUCUUUAGCAGCAGCAACAGCAGCAGCAGUCAGUGAGCUGCAGACAGCCCAUGUCAGACUGUCUCUGUGGAUUGUAACGCCAACACUCAUGCAUACCUCCGUUAGCUGUUGUCCCAGUACUCUACAGUGAGCUAGACAAAACACCAGUCUUAUAAAGUAGGCUUAAAGGCUGCUUAGUGAAUGCAUCUGUCGCAACAACAAAACGAGUAGUCAGAUAUUUAAACACUAACGUUUGGAGGGGUAAGACCUCUCCAUGUGGACGGUUUCCUGUUAUUGCUGUAUGGAUUUGUCAUUGUCUAGUCCGGCUUUAAUGUCUCAUUCCUUGAUAGGAAUACCUUUUGGACAACGUGUAUUUACUGCACUCAAGCAUCUGUAUGAUAUGUGAACAGACUCUUUGUAUCUUAUGGCAUUGUACAAAUAAAAGCUUCAUG
Molecule: long non-coding RNA, 6020 nt
Organism: Oreochromis aureus
Lineage: Eukaryota; Metazoa; Chordata; Actinopteri; Cichliformes; Cichlidae
Source: Ensembl